GGGCCGUGCCGGUGCCGGGGCGGGGCCGGCUCCCGGCCCGUGCCGCUGUCCGGUGCCCGCCAUGGCUCUGUGCUGCGCGCCGCGGCCGCCGCUCGCCCUGCUCCGCCUGCCCGCUGGGCAUCGCAGCCUGGUGACAGCCACAGGGGCACCGCGGCACGGGAAGAAAAAGGCCAGGGUGAGCCGCAGCCUGCCAGAGCCUUCCUGGGAGGAGAGGUUAGCAAAUGCAGUGACACCACUGUGGAGACUUUCCUACCAAGAGCAGCUACAGGUAAAGUAUGAAAGCCAGAAGAAGAUUUUGCAGACACUGGCAUCUCGUCUUGAGGAGCUGGGCAUAGAUGCACAGAAACCUGGUGGGCUCUGCUGUCCUCUGCAGCCUGUAGUCCCUUCGCCCAUCAUUAGUGGCUACCGAAACAAAUCAACGUUCUCAGUGAACCGAGGACCAGAUGGGAACCCCAAAACUGUGGGGAUGUAUGUAGGAACUGGCAGAGAAAGAAAUAUUGUCUGUGUGAAAGCCAACCAUGUGGAGAACAUACCCUCAAAACACAAACAAGUAGCCCAGUGCUAUGAGGAGUUCAUCUGUCAGUCCCCUCUGGACUCGUGCAUCCUCUUCCAUGAAGGUGGACACUGGCGGGAGCUCGUGGUUCGUACCACUCGCUGUGGCCACACUAUGGCUAUCAUCACCUUCCACCCCCAGCAGCUGGGCCAGGAGGCACUGGCUACUCAGAAAGCAUUACUGAAGGAGUUCUUCACAUGUGGGCCUGGAGCAGUCUGUGCCUUGACAUCACUUUAUUUCCAAGAGAGCACCAUGACACGUUGCUCCCACGAGCAGUCCCCGUACCAGCUCCUCCACGGAGCACCGCACAUCUUUGAAGAGCUGCACGGCCUGAAGUUCCGCAUCUCUCCAGACGCCUUCUUCCAAGUCAACACAGCUGGAGCAGAAGUUCUGUACCAGGCAGUUGGGGAGCUCUGCCAGGCUACUGGGGACACUGUCCUCCUUGACAUCUGCUGUGGAACAGGCACAAUUGGUCUCUCUCUGGCUCACCAAGUGUCCAAAGUUAUUGGUGUUGAGGUGGUGGAGAAGGCAAUAGAGGACGCUGAGUGGAAUGCAGCAUUCAAUGGGAUCUCAAACUGUGAGUUUCACAGUGGAAAGGCAGAGGCUGUGUUACCACAGCUCUUGGCAUUGUGGGAGGAUGCCCGACCGCUUGUUGCUGUGGUGAACCCUUCUCGGGCUGGCCUACGUGGCAUAACACAGCCCUCAAACUGUCUCAGUGGUCUCCCCUGGAGUGUGUAGUGGGAAGUCACACACUGGUCCUGGUGCCCAGAUGCACUCUCACAAGUGUGUGGAAGGUUUCAUAUGCCUUUGCUUAAUUAACAUUUAUUCUGUCAUCCUCCAUCCUCCUGGGAAGCAGAGGGAUUUCCCCAUUGCUCUGCCCUGCCUGCCAAAUUGGCUAAGCUCUCAGCAGUGUGGGUCGUACCCGUGGCCUCCUGAGGGACUCCAUCUGAGACAGAACAUAGCAAAAUAUGCAUUUUUGACAGUUGUGAUGAUAUGCAAUUAUUUCCUUCUGGAGAUGUCAGGGUGGUGGUGGGAAAGCAGGCUGUCUGUUUUUGCAGAUCACAGGGUUGUACGGGCCAUCCGGAACUGCAGGUCCAUCCGCAGGCUGCUCUACAUCUCCUGCAAGCCAGAGGGUGAAGCCAUGAGGAACUUCCUCGAGCUGUGCUGCCCACCUGACCCACAG
This is a non-coding RNA of Taeniopygia guttata (zebra finch), 1736 nucleotides long. The record is from RefSeq and is a predicted model, not a curated record. NCBI's taxonomy places the organism in Eukaryota, Metazoa, Chordata, Aves, Passeriformes, Estrildidae.